UGUCCAAUGCGGGGAAUCGAACCCGGGUCGUAGUGGUCGAAAACCAAACGGUUUAACCAGCCUUCGACUGACCCCAUUUAGGC
Non-coding RNA from Cordylochernes scorpioides, 83 nucleotides. NCBI's taxonomy places the organism in Eukaryota, Metazoa, Arthropoda, Arachnida, Pseudoscorpiones, Chernetidae. The record is from the annotation of a GenBank genome assembly.